RNAcentral lists this ribosomal RNA (201 nucleotides) under uncultured Lactobacillus sp. RNAcentral describes it as "partial 16S ribosomal RNA". It matches the Rfam family "Bacterial small subunit ribosomal RNA", at positions 161 to 355 of the family's 1533-position model. Lineage: Bacteria; Bacillati; Bacillota; Bacilli; Lactobacillales; Lactobacillaceae. The record is from RNAcentral.
UGCUAAUACCGGAUAACAACAGAUGAUGCCUAUCAACUGUUUAAAAGAUGGUUCUGCUAUCACUCUUGGAUGGACCUGCGGUGCAUUAGCUAGUUGGUAGGGUAACGGCCUACCAAGGCGAUGAUGCAUAGCCGAGUUGAGAGACUGAUCGGCCACAUUGGGACUGAGACACGGCCCAAACUCCUACGGGAGGCAGCAGCC